GAGACUGACUUCCUCCCCUGCUGCCUGGGCUGCGGUAGCUCUUCCGGCACCUGCUCUUCAGGCACCUGCCCUGUGCUGGCCCCUCCUGCAACAAUCGGGAGCCCUCACCUCAGUCGGCGCUGCAGAACCAGCCCAGGAGAGCAGCUGGCCUGUCAUCUGCUGAGGAGCGGAGGCGUGCGGGGAUCCGGAGGGGAAGGGGGUCUGGAGUGCUCCGGGGGAGACCCUCAGGGACUGCCCUGCUGCUGGCAGCGCCUGGGCCCACGGCUGAUGGAGGCGUCUCCUGGCCCCCAGGGCUGUGCCCAGGACUGCAAUGGCCUCCCACACUACCUCACUACCCUGGUCCAGGCUCACUGACAGAUGAGGAAACUGAGGCAGGGGCCCCGGUCUCACGGCCAUUGGUGCAGAGCUGGGAUCCACGACCAGAUUCUACCAAUUAAAAAAAGGAAAUGUGGGCCGGGCGUG
Molecule: long non-coding RNA, 462 nt
Filed under: Homo sapiens (human)
Lineage: Eukaryota; Metazoa; Chordata; Mammalia; Primates; Hominidae
Description: HSALNT0404495
Source: RNAcentral